Molecule: long non-coding RNA, 4355 nt
Filed under: Takifugu rubripes (torafugu)
Lineage: Eukaryota; Metazoa; Chordata; Actinopteri; Tetraodontiformes; Tetraodontidae
Description: lncRNA (ENSTRUG00000033216.1)
Source: RNAcentral
UUGGAAGAGGUUCUGUCUGGUGGUUGUGGUCUCUAUUGUCUCGGUGGUGCCACGUGACGCGUCCAGUGGCUUUGACUGUAAAGCACAGCAGCCUUUUCAAGUUGUAAGCUUUGAUUCAAAGAAAAAAGUCUUUCUUCUAAAGUGUUGCUGCUACACCUACAGACAUUAAUCGUUAAAGGUUAAGCUGAAACCAUCACUACACCAGACAACUCAUCUCUCUCCAACUGCAGAUUUUUGAUCCAGAGUCAGCUCUGCUGCCUCAUUCUUUGACCCUCCCACCGAGUAUCACCCUCUAAAAGAGACAAGCUUCGUACUGACGUGCACGCUCGUUAAAGGUCCAAAGGCUGUAGAAGAUGGGGUGCUGCUGUAGUAAGACUGACGAGUGGAGAGACAGCGACAGCGACAGCGAAAGCAUCAGCGACAUCGACAGUGACAUCAGCAGUCUGUCAGACAUCCUGCACUACAGUGGAUGGAGCACGAAGACGGUGGAGCACAGGCAGCACACCACCGCAGGAACCCAGCAGGCAUGGUUGGAUGCAGAGCUUAAAGGAGACAGCAGGUGUAAGGAGGAACCUGAGGUUAUUAGGAACCCAACACGUGUCGGGCCCACCCUUGAAUCAGAUCCCUGUGUGGCGCUGGACAGACUGAGCACAGGCGGAGAGGAAAACACUCCAGAUGGGUCAAACAGCUUCUACAGCAUCCGUCCCAUUGAUGCUGAUGACCUUGAGCAGGAGCAGAACCAGUGGGCAACAGAUGAGCCUGGUCCAUCCACUGUGCUGCAAACCGAGUUACUAACACCUCCUCCUGAAACAGACACUGGAUUAUUCCAAACACUUCCUCCUGGACCAGACCCCGAUUUAUUCCCAACACCUCCUCCUGGACCAGACCCUGAUUUAUUCCCAACACCUCCUCCUGGACCAGUCUCUGGAUUAUUCUCAACACCUCCUGAAUUGUCCCUACCAAGUGAGGUCGAUGUGCGUGUGACCACAAUAUCCUCACCGGAUACUGUUUCCUCCCAUCACACCGAUGUCACGACCUCGUCUCUCAACAAUCCAGGAAAAUUGUACGGUCCAGAAACUCACCGUAGAUCCCCCAAAUCCCACUUUGAGUGGCAGGAAAAUGCGGAGCUCAAACGUUCGUGGCUUCCAGCGAAUUCACGCAUCCGGAAAAUCCCGAGCCGAGAAGAGGGCGAUGAUCCCUCUGUCUCAAUUUGUUUUUACAGUGCACCUGAAGACCUGGCCCCCCCGAGACCUGAGCGUCAGGACGUUGCCACUCAAACUUUGCCCCCUGGUGCUUGUGGAGAUGCUCCCACUCCAUCCAAGAUGGAGUCCGUCUGUCAUGAGCAGCACGUGAUGGCUGAAGGGGGCAACAGUGGAGACGAGACAAAGGGAAUGGUGUGGUCUAAGGGCACACCCCAGGCUGAGUUCCCCCAGAUGGGUAGAGGUGUGGACAUCCCAGGGCCAGUGUCGGAGCUACAGCCCUCCAAGGCUCCCAGAGACUGCCCACAGCCUAAAACUUUGCCAGGACUGUCAGCCAAACCUCCCAGACUACAAAGGAGAGGACGCGUCAGCAUGGGGAGAAGAUACCAACAGAGGGAAGCAGACAAGACAAAGGAGCUGGACGCAGAGAGGAAGCCGUCACCUCUUCCUGAGAUCGGGGAGGCCAACUUCCCUUCUCUUUCUGCUGUGAAUGUUUCCACAGCAACCGUACCUGCAACUGAGAACAAGAGCUGUGCUGAGGGAAAUUGGCCUCACUGGAAAGCUGACUCCAGCACGAGCAGCCAAAAAGUGGGAGAACCUUAGAAAAACCUACAAGGAGCUUCGGAGACCACCAUCAGGGUCUGGGACUGAGUCUGGGGAGGUCACAGCUGACAAAUGGAAAUAGUUCCCGCUCAUGGAUGAGGCAAUAGGUGGCAGGCCCUCCAUUCGGCCCCCAUGCCUCGUUGCCUCAGCCUGGGUGGAGGGCCAUUCUACGUCAGGCUCCUCACAUUCAGUCCUGGAGAGACCUGAUGGUGAGUCAGGGACAGAAGAGGAGCAACCAGGGCCAGCAACACGCAAGCGCCAGCGGCGCGAUAGGAUCCUGGAGCUGCUAGAGAGGGCCGAGGAAAGGGCAACACAAGAGGUAGCCAGGGAUGAGAGACUUUUAGAUCUCUUAGAGCAAAUCAAAGAAAAAAUGUAAAAAAGUAUAUAUUAAAUUGUAUAAUUGUACUGUUCUGUUGGUAAUAUUAAAUUGUUUAAAUCAACUUCCAUCAAAGAUUGCUUUCUUCGCAUCAUAUGGUUGAUAACAAAUGCUUUAUUCAAAGUGUAAAUUUAAUUGAUACAGUUUUUGAUUUUGAAAUGAAAACUAUUUACAUAAACACACACAUAAAGAAAUUGCAUUUAUCCAAUGUGAUGUAAAAUUCCUGUAUGUAAAAUUCCUGUAUUACUUAUAUAGAUAUUUGAGAAUGUACCAUCAUGUCAUGGCACGAAAAUGUCACCGGACACUAAUUAUUUGAGAUAAUAAGGAAGUGUUAUGUUAUUGUUAUUGACAUUAAUAUUUUAAUCUAUUAUUAUUAUAUAAAGAUAAUAAUAGGGUAAAAUAUUGCACUUUCAAAGAAACAAGCGCUGAAUGUGUUUGGGUAUGUUUCGGAUGGGUUAAAAUAAUUAAAUGGACCUGGCCACACCUGGCCUUUUCCCGGGGAACGGGGAACGGUUCGUUAUUAUUAUGCGACAACAUUACGUCAUUUUACGUGCGCCGUAGUGUCCGAAAGCUAAUUUUGAAUUGAGUGCGCUACGUAGUUCACUCAAUCCAUGUCCCCCAUGUAGUGAGUAGUGAAUAGGGAACAAGUGUGUGUUGUAUUCACUUUAAUUUGAACACUUGGGACAUUCGAGUCACCUGAUAACAACAGUGAGAAAUAACCCAUAUUAAACAAAUACGGGGCUUCGCCGAUUAUCAGCGCUAGCAUGGCCUCACCGUCUGUUUCACUCGGUGUCUUUGUCUGUUCAGCGUGUGAAAUGUUUAGUUACUCCUCUGCCUCCCUUAGUGAAGGGAAUAGGUGCAGAAAGUGUAGUUUAUUUACGGCUAUGGAGGCGAGACUUAGCGAUCUUGAGACGCGGUUCCUCAGUUAGCUGGAGUUGCGUCAGGUAGCCAGGAGAAGCUAGCUGCUGCGGAGCCGCCUAGCGUAGCUACAGCUAGCGGCCCCCGGCAGCAGCCGGCUAGCCAGGGCGGCUGGGAGACGGUUCGUAGGAAGCGUAGCCCCAAACAAAGGCCCACGGUGCCCCACCACCCGCUUCCCGUGGCUAACCGCUUUUCCCACUCGGCGACACACCCGCUGAGAAACCGACCCUGGUAAUUGGCGACUCCAGCGACCAUAGUUAAGAGCAUUCCGGGGGCCAGAGCGGGCGACAUAGAAGCAAAUUUACGGCUGCUGGCGAGACGGAAACGUAAAUUUGGUUUUGGUUUAUUUAACACUAUAGAGGUAGUCUCUGUUCCACGGUUAAAAGUUCACCAAGCACAGAGCAGGGGAGCGUUGGAGAAAGUUGGAGAAACUAAUAUCACAAUUAAGUGUGGACUGUUAAAUAUUAGAUCUCUUUUGUGUAAAUCCCUGUUAGUACAUGACCUGAUAGUGGAUCAUCACAUUGAUUUAUUUUGUCUUACUGAGACCUGGCUUCAGGAGGAGGAGUAUGUGAGCUUAAAUCAGGGGUCGGCAACCCAAAAUGUUGAAAGAGCCAUAUUGGACCAAAAAAACAAGAAACCAAUCUGUCUGGAGCCGCAAAAAAUUAAAAGCCUUAUAAUGAAGGCAACACAGGCAGUAAGUGUCUAUAUUAGCUGUAUUAGCCUACUUUCCAAAUGGUAAGUAGGCCACAAAUACAUAAUGAGCAUUCAUGAUUGUAGCUACAACGGUCCAAUGAAAUAAUGGCCACGCAUCAUACAGAUGUCUUUUGAAAAGAACCCUACAAGUGACCUAUCAAAGGAAACAUACAUAAAGAACAAUACAUUUUUAAGCCAUUUCAACAAUAACGAAUUGAGACAUUAAAUGAAAUUAUGACCAUUUUGAAAAUGUAAAAUAAAUAUUGACUGAAUUUUUCAAUUAACAUGUCUCUCAGACAGUUACAAUGAUGAAAUGUUUAUUUUCCUGCCGCGCAUCCUGGAGAGAAUGACGCCCCAUGUGACCACUCUGCUGUACGAUGGUGCUUUAAGUUUAACUUCCAUUAUCGUGGGAUGUUGAAAACUUUAAGAAUGUUUGUCACGUUUUUCUCCUACAAAAAUUAUAUUAAAACAAUUUCCAUUUUCAUAUUUUUGAAAAAGCUCCAGGGAGCCACUAGGGCGGCGCCAAAGAGCCGCAUGCGGCUCCAAAGCCGCGGGUUGCCGACCCC